CUUCAAGCGCAUCAGCAAGACUGCAGCAGCAGGGCCAAAAUAGGAUAAGAACUUAUUCCUGGGUCAUUUCCAGUCUGUUGGCCACCUGUGAUCUAAUGCAGCCUAAACUUAGGAGAGUUAUCUUACUGGAUGCUCCUGGGGGAAUGGCAGCUUGUUCUCGGUUGUCCUGGUCAAGUUGUGGAAGCCAGCUAAGAGUGGGGUGGUUUUGCUUGAUGCUGUGCAGAUACGGGCAGUGACAGCCCGUACCCCCAUUGAAGUAGGCAGGACACAUGGAGAGUGGGUGGUGCUGCCAACGCAAGCUGCCAGAGCACCGUGUUUAUGUGGAACUCUUGGCUUUCAUGUAAAAUAAUCAUCAUCAUCGUAAAAAAAUCUGACCCAUUCAGUUGGAAAUAUGAUCCCUUAAAGAGUCGGAAACCACAAGGUCAUUCAAAAAGGCUCAUAAUUCAUAUGUAUAUCCUUAUAACUCUUGAUUUUUAAGCCGAAAUCAUGAUGUUUGGAGGCCCAACUCAAGUCUUAUGAAUUCCUAGAGGCUGACAGUACCGAGUGAGAAAAGGGCAAAAUUAGCACAUGGGAAGAAAGAGGGUUGCCAAAGGUAUGAGAGCAAGUCAGUGGGAGAGCCAGGCCUCCUGCCUCCUCGCCCCAAGUACUAGCCACAUUGUCUGGCCUCCUUCCCCAAAGGAAACUAAGAGGCCUUAAAGAAAUCCUAGCUGUUUCAGUCUUGUGUUUCCAUCUUCCUUUUGAUGCUCUUAUUUUCAGCAACAUGUACAUUUCGCAGCAUCCUGCUGCUCCCCAUAGGGUAUUAUUCCAUCUCUGGGGCUCGUGGCCAUGAUAGUGUGUGCUGAUGACAGCUGUGGGAGUUUGCAAGUAGCUUAACAUUUGCAUGCCAUGAAUAUGCAGCUCUGAGCAUGGCCCAGUUCUCUGUGCAGCCAUCCUGUGCACGUUUACAAGGGACGGCAGCAUCCUGCAUAUUUCAGGAUCCCAGGAGACACCAGUUCCUAGUGCCUUAGGUGACAUUUUUGCGUACGCUUGGCUGUUCAUAAUCACAAACACCUGGAUAACCGGAUUUCUGGGAAAACUGCUUGCUUUUAAUCAUAGCAAAAAUCAGGGACUUCAUGGUUGAGUAGCAAUGCUCCCUACCUGAGCCAUUUCCAGGAUCUGAUGUCUGCACGGAGCCCUCCCGGCAUGCAGUACAGCGCUGGCCAAGGGCAGAGCCUGCAAGCUGCUCCUCUCCCUACUGCACCGACUUCCAGGUUCUGUUUGCACCAGCCCAAUGUCAAACAUCGCAGCAGCAGCUCUGGCGGAAGGGCUUUGGCUGAGUCUCUGUAAUGAUUCCCAUCUUCCUGCUGCUGCUCUGCAAUCAGCACUAUUCGCAGCGCUGUUCAAAGCAGCACUGAUGGCAUCAGAGCAGAAGGAUGAGCGAUAUGGGGAAGAGGGAUGCUUUUUUUAAGUCAGUGGUACUGCUAGCUGCUUGAGUUCCUGCUCUCUGAUGCACUUCCAUGGCAAAGAGGAUAAAGGUACGGCAGGCAGGUAGCUCCAGCAGGCUUUAGACUUGGCCAGGGUUGCUGUCUCAAGGGAAGGACUUGUGCGGGGGUUAUAAAUAGUUCCCACUCUCAUUAGAAAGCUGUACAGUCCUUAAGGUCCCACUUGCAUGUACAUCCCGUUGACUUGGCAGAUCAGAAAAAAAAUUGAGGCUGCAGCCUGGAAACUUUGCUCUUGGACCCUGAGUAUCAAGAUUGGCUCUAGGUAGAAGAGAUCACCCAGAGUCAGUGCUCCAGUCCACCCAUUAUUUAUGCUCUGGUAGCGCACAACCAUAGUCUAUAGCGUAUCAUGCUUGCACUAACCAAAACUUGGGUCCAAAUCUCUCUAGUCUCAGUAGAUAAAGACUGCUGCGUGACUCUGCUAGACUACACCACGCUAUAUUAUGCAACUGCAUGGCUGUGUGUAGGGGUGAUCUCCAGCUAUGAAGCCACAUUAACUGUUGUUUCUACUUAACUGCCUGCUUCAUCAAUCGAUGCUUCAUCAAUCGACUCUUCAUACCGCAGGAGGAACCAGCUGCCCCAGCCUUGCCCAGAGCUUUAUGGCAAUGGUGAGGACAAAUCCACACCUCAAAGAAAAAUGAUAAGCACAAUAGGAAAUGAAAGGCAGCAGGAGAAGGCAGCUGUGAGAGCAACAAGUCAGCGCAAAGCAGCAGCCUCAGGAAACUGGCUCUCGAGUGGCUGGGGGUCACUACAAAGUGAGACGUCAGGAAGGAUUUGUAGGCAGAUACUGUUGUCCUUUUAGGCCUAUUCCAGGAAUAAACACAAAGAAAUACGAUGAUACUUUUUUUGAGAUGGAUGCAUGGCACAGCAUAGGUACAUGACAAGAAGCGUUGCUUUGUCUUUCCACAAAGGGUUGUUGUGGGUUUUUUUCAUUACUUCAAAUGUCUGUAUAGGUACUCCCAUUUCAAUCCCUGUAGUAUAAGCCAAACAGAGAUGAAACCAAGGGUUUUUUUUUGAGAGCUCUAUAAUUAACAACUGGUCCCUUGAGCAGCAGAAGCAAUCAAGCCUGCUUUUCUCCGAAUUUGUGCCAUAUGUGGAUUCUUUGCUGUCUCAGGAGUGAAUUCACUCUGCUGUCCUUUGCUCACAGAAGGCCCUACUAUUUCACUCUGACCAACUGUGCAGGAAACUCAUACCUUUAAUACCUCUCUCUUGCCUUCCAGUUUGGGUGAAGUUGGCAAGAGGGUCCCGAAGCUUCCAGAGGGCUGGAAAGACAGAUGGCAGGGAAGAACUGGCAAUCAGAUAAAAGCAGAAGCAUGGCACAUGAGAGGGAAGGAAAGAUGAGAUGUUCAAAAGGGGUCUUGGCAGAGCCACAGGAGAAGACCCAGCAUGGUUCAGGAGAGGACACACACUGCCCACCGGGAAAGGCUUGUGGGUGAGUAUGGAGUCUCUGACCAUGCCAGCCUCUAGCAAUGGCAGACACCUGCUGCUGAUAGGUUAUUUAGCUCAGCCUCUCUGCAAACUCAAUCCCUGCCACCAGAGCCUUCCCUAAGGUGGGAGUUUCCUCCCUUUACCGUGAAAGUGAUGGGAUCUCCUGGCCGAGAUAUGCAAGAACAGUGCCUCUGAACAGCAUCUAGUGCUCUGGGUGCAAAAAGAUGACUAAAAGAUCCAUGGGAACUUCUUCCUCUUCUCUCUCCUCCCUCCCCACUUUCCUGGUUCAACCCCUAUUCCUUUCGGGAUAUUGGACUUUGAUUCAGGAAAGCAGCCCCAGGUCCCGAGCAACAUUUGUCCUGGGCACAAGGGCAUCAGAAACAGAAUCAUGACUGUCAGCAGAACCGGGAAGCGCAGGCCUGCGUGGUCCCUAGGGGGAAAUUAUUUGCUGAUUGCAUCUGUUUCCCAGAAGCAUCACUCCAAUUUAUCCUGGGAUUCACGUUUUUCUCCAGCAAAUAAGCACCUCGGGAGCUUCAUUUCCAUCUCAGAUGUUAAAUUUAGAAGUGGUGCUUCCCCUUCUCCCAUCCUCUCCCUGCCCCCUCCCCAAUGGCUCCCGUAUCUCCCCUCCAGCCCCCACCCUCACCUCCAGCUCUCCCUCUUUGUCGCAUUACAUAGUAAUCUGAGAUGCAUUGGCCGAGCUCCAGGGAACAGAAUGUACUUGGCAGGGAGACGGGUCUUGAUGUCUGCAAAAUGUCGGGAAAUGCAGCCAAGAGCUGCUAACUGGGUCAUUAACCUCUAGAAGAAGAGCAAGUUGUGGAGCUGUGCUCUGUCUCCCUUCAUCUCGCCAAUAAAAAUGUCCCAGCAACGAGAGAGGGAAGAAGAGGUUUACAGCUUUAAGUCCUAAGCAGUCAAUGCAGCCACCCUCCCUGGCCCCCCUUCUCCCUACCCUCUCCCCCAGCGCAGCAUUAAAGCUUAUAAGUGGCCUUUUAAAAUCACAGCGAUUCCCGCGGAGCUGUCCCUCGGUGCUUGUAAAGAGGCUACUGGAGCAAACCAGUCGCUUCCAGAGGCGUGCUGCUCCUGCCAUUCGUGGUCAGAGGGGCUCUGAGGAAGGGCCUUUCUGUUGGGUUGCAGCCCCUGUGUGAGGUGGGACAGGGUGCUGCUAUCACCCACAGACCUGAGUGUCCCAACCUCUUCGCUGUCCCCGUGAGCCGUGUGCCACAUUUCUUGGCCGUUCCAUUGCCAUGAGUUGCCUUUCUACACAGUGGUGCUGAAGUCGGGAAGAGGUGGCUGGUUCCUCUGUGUGGGGAAGGGGUGCAGUGCAGUGAGAUGGGCCGAGGAGGGCCCCAAGCACAAACGGCUCAGCCCGUGUCACUUGGUGCAACUUGAAAGAAAGCAAAGCUGUUUGCUGACAACGUUGAGGUCUCUGUAAUCUGGAGGGGGGUUGGAGGGCAGGCUGUGGGCUCCCCAGAACUGGUGCCCACCAUUGUCUGCCCAGAAGAGGUAGCCAAAGAGUGGGGGAGGGAGCUGCAUCUCCCAAAACCUUCCACAACCCAUACCAGCUGUUGGUGGAGCAGACUGCAGGAUGGAGGUCAGUGUGGUGGUGGAUGGGAGAGGGGAAGAAAGCUGUUGCGUGGCUGGACCUCUUCCUCGGGGAUGUGGUUUCCAUCCCUCUCCUCUUCCAGAGCAGACCCUGCCUCAGGAACUGUUGACUGGGCUGUCCAAGGACUCCCCUGCUUACUUCUACACCUGAUGCCAUUACAUUGGACUUCCAUGAGUUUUUCUACCCAAGUACACCUUCCCUUUGCCCUUAAUCCAUCCUCCGUUAUAAAAGAAUGUGUAAAAUAUUCUGUCUAGGCAGAAACAGCGGAAAGCACUGCCUUCAAAGCUGUACCUCUCCAGGUGAGCCAAGCGAGACAAGGCGGAAAUGAACCACAGCCUAGGAGUGCAUUGGGUCCUGCAUGAGGACAGCAUGCUGACCUGAAGAUGACAUUCGGUGCCAUUCCCUGCGAGCAGGACACUCGCGGUGCUUUGUGGCGACAACACCGCAGCGCGAAGGCACCUGGAGGGCGUCCUGUCGUCAGCUACCCAGCAAACGGAGCCUGGGGAAAGGCUGGGACAACCUCGAGCGACGCCAAGCUCCGGCAGCCCCGUUCUGCUCCGUGACCCCUCCCCGCACGGCCGGGGGAGGCCGCACCGCCGCUCCCCGAGCGCC
This 5118-nucleotide long non-coding RNA is filed under the name Gallus gallus (chicken). Its description in RNAcentral is "lncRNA (ENSGALG00010018873.1)". The record is from RNAcentral. Lineage: Eukaryota; Metazoa; Chordata; Aves; Galliformes; Phasianidae.